UUUUAAAAUUAUAUGACAUAUAACUAUGACAUUUUCUGCUGCCAAAGGCCUGUCAUAUGAUCAAUCCACUGAUAUAUACAGAAAUUUGUUAUUUUUAUUUUUUAUUCAUUCUCUUACUCAACACAAAACUAACAAGUGACUGUUGUUAUCCAAGACUAGUGUAAGACAACAGGAAGUUUUAGAAAAUUAAUUACAUUGUCUUUGCUUUUCCAGUGAAUUUUAAGCACACUAGCUUUUUUUUCUUAGAAUUUCCCUAUUAAAAAUGAGUGUUCUCUCCGUUUUGAAUUGAUGUCAUCAUUUCCCUGAAAUAUAUUUUUUUAAAGUCGCUCUCUCUCUCUUUUUUUGACUGCUCUUGGUGACUUGAUCUUUCAAUGAGAUAAUAAAAUUCUAAGAUCUAUUACUCUAAUUAUAAGAAUGCCAGGCUUAAAUUUAUUCUCUAGUUAAUUUAAAGAGAAAUGUACUUUUUCAUCUUUAAAAAUCAUAGUCCUCCUAUAAGCAGAGGUGUUAAUAAAAUAUAGUUGCAAGUAAAACUUCAUUUCCUGAACUACCCGAGAUUAUCCUGUUUAGUGUACUAAAAAUUACAUGGAAAACAUGGCAUACAUUGAUAAUGUUGAGUAAUAACCUGAGUCAAAAUAUACAGGGAUUCCAGAAAUGAAGUUCCAAAAUUGAAGAGGGUUCAAUUUUGAAUGGGAUAUGUGAGUCAUUAUAUUCUGAGAAAGAACAUUUCAGCCUUCACCCUUUGAAAAGGUGUAAGUCAAACAUAUAAAUGGAACAUAGAUGUUAAACUCUGACUGGAAUAAAUGUUUGGUUUAAUUGGCUUUUGCAUCCAGAUGGUCACGAUUUUGGCAAGUCCAUUUUCUUAUGAAUAUUUAUCACAGUAUUUUAGGGAAUCAAUACAUUGACAUAAACAUUGAAGAUAGAGACCUUUGUGUGUGUGUGUCUGUGUAUAUAUAUAUAUAUAUAUAUAUAUAUAUAUAUAUAUAUAUAUAUAUACACAGACACACACACACAAACACACACACACACAUUUUUUUUUUAAUUGAGAUACUUGUACUUGGAAAAUUAGCUUUUAUUUUAUAGUAGAAGAAAGUGUCACAACAGAGAUCUACAUUUCAGGCAAGAUAAGCUGUUAUUUUAACUCAUUCAUUUCUAAAAUACUAAUUUACAUAUGGAUGAAUAUUUAUAAAAGCAGGUUAUUCCAAAAUUUCAGUAUCAUUUUUGACAAAAGUGUUUGUUUUUUUAAAAAUGAUAUAUGUAAUGCUUCACCUGCACAUUCUUUUGCAAACAUAUUUUAAAAGAAAAACCUUUACUGCCAGAAAGUGUACUAUUUUAAUUGCAAUUAGACUUGUGUGAUAACCAUCAAGCUGGUGCCUAACUCUAAAAGGAUUUUUCCAACUGUUCUGUGGCUUCUUAGGCAACUAUCACCAAGUAAUUACAAUGAUUAAAUGAGCUACAAGAUUGAAACCUUCUAAAAUAUGUAGACUUCAGGAAUAAAAUGUGAAAUAACACUUGUUCAUUAAAUAUAUUAAUAAAAAUAUAAUGUAAUUUUUGGAAAUAAAAAAAUCAUUGAUACAAGCAUUCAUUUAAAUACAUGUAGUUCACAUUUCAAUCAUAUAAAAGUAUAGACAAUUUGGUAAACUAAUUUAGAACCAAGCAACAGUUAGAGUAACCUUAGUAUCAAAGACAUCGUUAAGUAGAAUUUGGCAUGGAACUUACUUGAGUAUUGCCCUGUCUGUAGUAACCAAUUUCUAUAGAUAACUACAAAUAUAGCAAUCAUACCAUUACUCAGUGAGUCAUUUUGAUGGAUUAACAGUUUCAGUUACUUGUUUAUUAAGUUUUCAUAAGUGACUAUGCAUUGUAUACCAGAGAAAAUAAACCAAUAGUGGUUAUUAAAAUGAAUAUUUACAUAGGCGUGUUUUCAUUUGAGGCUACAAUAAUAUCUAUUCAAAACUGUUUAUACUUUUCAAAAUUUCAUUUAACAUCUUGAGAAUUUAGUUUUGUCCUCUGAAAAUUAGAUAAUUGGAAUCAGAAAUUUUUCCAUUUCUAUUAUUAAAAAUUGAACUACAGCUUUUAUGAAUCACUUAGGGAAACAUCACUCUUUGGCAGGUUUCCUCUUACCACCCAGCAUCCAUCUGGUCUACUUCUUUCUAUCAUCAGUUGAUAUAUGUUCAAACAGUUCAAAUCAAUGUUAACAUUGGCUUAAGAAAAUCAGUGUCAAACUAAGUCACAUGGUUCAGUGUCUCUUGUGUCUCUUGACAGUUGCAGGAUCUCCACUGUUUAUCACUCUCUGAGAUUCACUUUGAUAACAGAGCAUUGUCCUUCUGUUGUUGUUGUUUUGUUUUUUGAACCCAGAUGUGCUUUACCUCUAAGUUUCAUCACAGCUCUUUUUAUUUUUUUAUUUGGAGACAGGGUUUCUCUAAGUUGCUUAGGGCCUUCCUAACUUGUGGAGGCUGGUCUCAAACUUUUAAUCUUCUUACCUCACAUCCCCCAAUCCCUGGGAUAACAGGCAUGCACCACCACACCUACCUAAAGUUUUAUCUUUAUAUUCUUUGAGAUCUCUGCUUAAUUUCCUAAACUGGAAAAUCAUACUUUUCUCCUAAAUAAGAAAAUUACAAAACUGUAAAUUCUCAAGCAGAUUAUUGGUAUUUACAGUUUAAUUGAAAUUAUCAACUUAAAAUAAGUACAUAAAUGUCAAUUUAAAUAAGGGAAAUUACUAUUAUUGUGUUUAAUUUUCUGUAGUAAGGUAUUAAGGUGAAUUUAGUAGUUCAACACAUAGUUUUGAGAAAAUGUAUAAAUAUAAUAAAAAUAUGCAAAACUGAUAAUUUUGACUGAUAUUAUCAACAAUUAGGAUAAGUCUUAGCAGAGCUAGUUAAACCAAAUAAUUCUCAUUUAGGCAGUCUGUUCAUUCUAGAAAAAUAGAGUAAAAUCAUAGAAAUAAUCUGAAUAAUCAGAAUUGCCAGUCUAUUGCUGAAGGAAAAUCAAAUUUAGGAUUCAGAGAACAGAAUUGCAGGUUAGUUGAAAAUAGUUCCCAAAUAUACUACCUGCAUGUCUAACAAAUAAAAUUGGGUUGCAUGGACAUAAGUUAAAAUUGUGUUUUGUCAUAUAGAAGAACCUAUAUAUUCUUUUCAGAAUAAUGCAGAAACGUGGAGCCACAGACAGCUCUGAAACCUGCACAGCACCAGAGGCAUCUCUCCUGCUGUAAUAUCCCAAUUACUGAGGAAUCUCUCCAAUUAUUUGAAAUUAUCACAACCAACUGCAUUGUGCUGCUGCUUCUUAAAAAACUUUGGGAAAGCCAAACCCUUUUAUUGAUGUUGAUAAAUAUAUAGUAGAUUAUUUUACACUGUGGGUGAAUGGAAUUCAGAGUCAUUUUAUGCAUUUGGGAAGUUCACAUUGGCAGAGGAGCUAUAGUUCCAGAAAUGCCAAAUUUUGGCAGCAGUCACUUUUUUGUUUAUCUUAUUAAGUAGCCUCUUCUAGUGCUCAUACACUGAAUUUUCAGCAUCAAAUACGCCUUCCUUAAAAUGUUCUAGACACUUCUAUUUUUAAGAGGGAGUAUAAUUAUAGUUGGGCAAACAAAUCAUACAAAGAACAUAAAUUCAGGAAAAAAAAGUUUCCCUUCAUAUGCUGUAGUCCUUCAAGUAUGCCAAAAUAUAUCUCAAAUAUGUCAUGCAAAAGUGGGGCAUUUUGAAUAAUGCUUUCUUUAGUUUUAAGACUCUAGUACCUGGAUCAUUCAGUUCUGCUCUUAUAAUGCAUCAUGUUGGCUUUCAAGACAAAACAGUGAAUUCCAGUGUUUUUCAUAUUAAGACAUUGUGUGGUUCCCUAUUGGAGAAGCAGAUCUGUAUAGUCAAGAAUAAAGGUGGGGAAAAUAUAUAAAAUUCAUAAAAUCUAAAGGUUCAUUGAAAGUAACAUUUAAAUAAAGUUGGUUUAGAAGUGACAUAAAUAUUUUUUUGUCUUUGACAACCAAUUUCACCACAAAAUAAGAGAUAUUUCAAUAUCAGCAUCACACCCAAUGACAGUAAACGUGGUGCUGUUGUAAAUACAUCUCUACCCCUUGCUUCUUUCUAUGCACAUUCUUCCAACUGCUCACAUCAAAGAUCUGUGUCCCCACAAUUAGUGACAGCUUCAAUAGUAAUAGCCCCUGUAUGCUUUUCUUUUCUCACAUUCAAAAAGGACAAUUGUUUAUCAUUUCUGGUGACUAUAGUAAAUAUGUUUAUAGUUACAAAGAAAAUUCGAGAAAACUUCUUUGUAGUAUCAAAUGAUUUAAUCAGUGCCUGCAUAAACCUAAUUGUUUCUUAAUCAAGUACGCGAGAUUAUCUAAUUUGAAGGCCAGAUUGUCCAUUUAUUAUGCAGAUUUUGUCCAUACAUGCAAAAGUGAUAUAAAUAAUAUCAAGGCUAAAUUAAAUAUUAUAAUAUCAAUUAAAUUAUAUAUGUGCAUAUAUACACAUAUAUAUUAUUGGAGAAUAACCAUAUGCUCCAUAGACAUGUGAUGCUUUUUAAAUAUUUGUUCCAUGAAUAUAUGCUCAUUAGAAGGCUACUAAAAAUAAAAUCCAAAAAUACUUGAAUAGUACUAAUACAUAAGAUAGCCAAUUAUAAGGAAUAUACAACAAAAAUAUAAAAGAAAAAAAUAGAGUUUUGUCAAUAAAAUGCCCCAGGAUUUUUGCAUAAGACAUAAUUUAUCUGUUUGUAGUCGUAAUUGAUUGAAUGAAAUAUAAGCAGUCUCUGGAAAGGUGAGAAGCUGGUCAGGUCAAGAUUUAAAACCUGUAAGUUCAUGGAACAUUUGUCAAGUAAGCCUCUCUGGGAACAAUGCAGCAAAUCACAGCUAUUUGAUCAAUCAAGUCAGUUCUCUAUUGUAAAAGUACAAAGAGAUGUCGUCACUGGAAUCUGAUUUGGAAUUGGAUGCUUGUAGAUUAAUGAAUUUCUAUAGACUCUGCCUUCCAAUGUUUUGCCUGGAAAAGAAGUAAAUUCAUUAGGAAUUUGGAUAGAAACAACAUCAGAAAACCGUGAUAAAGCUAGAGUAGUGUUCAUAUGAGAAGGAGCUAACCUUAAAAAGAAUAAACUUGUUGAUGCUAUGUUAUUGAAAUGAAAACUAAUUAUUUAGUACUUUAACAUGAUUAGUCAUUAUUACUAAAAAUUUGAACAUACUUUUAAAUACAUGUAAAAAGUAACAGGCCAAAAUAAUCUAUAAUAAUUUCAACAAAAUAACAAAUCAUUUCUUAGGAGAAAUGGAAGAUAUUUUGGGCUCUGUAAAAAUAUUCACUUUGGCACCAUUAUCUCUUUAUUUCUAGAAACUCCAUUUAUAAUGGUAUGAAACUAGGUUUCCAACACCAGAUAAUAAUAGCUGAUGUUUACUUAGUGUUCACUAUGUACAUAGUAUUAUUCUUUGUACUUUACAUGUGUUAAAUCAUUAAAUAGGACCACCUACUUUAAGACAGGUAUUAUUAUUAUUUUCCCCAUUUUAGGUUUCAGGUUACAGCUUCAUGAUGAAGGGAAGACUGUGAAAUUCCAGCUUUAGUGGUCUGAUGCCAGAGACAUGUCUCUUAGCUCCUAAGCUAUAUCGCCUCUAUCAUUAAACUUUUUUGGUUUUUAUACUGUGGGUUGAAUCCAGGGAUGCUUUCCCACUGAGCUACAUCACUUGCCCUUCUUAUUUUUAUUUUGAGACAGGGUCUCUCUAAGUUUUUGAGGCUGGCCUCAAACUUAUUAUUCUCCCACUUCAGCCUCCAGAGUUGCUGGGAUUAUAGGUAUGCACUACAUGUCUGGCUUUUACUUUUAUUUAAAAAAUAAAAUUGUGGUACAGCAGCAAAAGUCAGUUGUGCCAUGCCACAGUCUGGCUGGGCACAAAUGCCGCAGUCUGGCUGGGCACACAAUCACGAGCCACCACACAGCUUGUAGAUUCAAACAGCAACUCUUUAUUCCCGAACUCACACCAGCCGUCUACAAUCACGUUCUGGGGAAAUCCACGUUCUCUGCCCAAAUCCACGUUCUCUGUCCAAAUCCACCUCCACUGGGCUUCUGUCUCCCAAAAUAUACUGUCUGAAUCCCGUGAGAACUCAAGGGGAACUCAGGCAGCAGGAUAUGCCCUAUUCCCAGCAGGAAUAAUCUUAAACCUUAAACCUGGAACCUAAACUGGGAACGCCCUAAACAAGAUUAUCUUAAAACCGGGAACACCCUAAUCUGCCUUGGUCCUUGAGCAAGGUCACGUACAUUCAAUGUCACUGCAACAUGGGGUACGCUGGCAAGGAAAUUGUCAUACCAACUUGGCUAAUGGCUCCCAGCAGUGCCACAAAUAAUUUAUUUGUUGAAAGGGUAAAAUUGGAUAGCUGAAGUCUAUUUUUAUUUUCACUACUUCAGUGUAUAAAAUUUGUACACAUGGCAUGAUGAUACAACUACACCUGAGGCAUUAGGAAAUUCUUCACAGUUUACAAUGAGCAUUCAUAGACACUAGUAAGAGGAGUAACUGGCAUUUGUAUCUUUUAGGCAGUGGGAUUUUAGAUAUUUUCCCCAAACAAUAGAUUUUAGCAAUGAAUUUAAAGUAAUUUUCUUCUCUCAAAAUAGAACAGUUUGUGAUUAUUUUUAUUUUAAACUACUCUUUGUAUCAGAGAAGAAAUCUAGAAGAGUAGGAGAUCAAACUUCAAUAACAAGUAGAUCUCACUUCUGUACUAGACUAGGAUGAUGCUUUCUAGUUUUUUUUUUUUUCUUUUCAACCUUUAUUCUAGCCCCUGUUCCUGAAUUGUUCAGAAACACCAACCAUCAUCCACCUCUGUACAAACUUGCCAGCAAAGAUCAACAUGGGCCUUCCCCCAGCUUAUCUGUCCUGCAUGGGAAAGCACAUCUUUAUGUCUAUUUAUAAACAUGCAUAUAAUAAAAAUCUUUAUUGUUAUUUAUAAAAUUUGAAUGAUUGUCCUAGAGUAGGUUUUCCUCUCUUAUCACCCACAAACACAAAAAUUAUUCAGCUAUUUUAUACAGUUCCCCAAAUGUAUCAUAUUACUGACUACUUUAUACUUUCCUUACUAAAACUCUUUCAACAAUUCAUGAUAAAUAUUUGUCAGCCAUGUGUUCAACUUUCAGUAUCCCUCUUAUGCCUGAUAAUGGAAGAGAACCAUUUUAGUAUAGUAAAAUUAAAUUUGUUUAUCACGGAUUAUCACAAUUAAUGCUUUUUAAUAAAACGUCCAGGUGAGAAUGCUACAGUUUUAAACUGAGGUGAAAUUGAAGGCAAAAAUGAAAUAAUUGAGAGUUAUAGAUGAACAGCUUUCCCUAUUCCAAAUUUGGCAAAGGUAAUUGAUUCUUGAAAUUACAUGUUUACCUUUUAUCCAUUGUAUAUACUUUUGGAUCAUGGAAUCACUUUCGUGCAUGUUUUUAUUAUUUAGAACAUAAAUGAACAUAAAUUCUGUCACAUUCCUAGAAAACAAAAUUAGAUCUUCCUGUUUAAAGAAGAAUUUCUUAAUAUAAGAUGAGCAGAUUUAUUUGUAACUCCAAAGACCUAUAGUUUUGAAAUUCACAUUACUUACAUUUUGAUUGUGAUGACUCAGUUUUCUCAAAAGCUUGGUUUGAGAUCUAUUUGGAGGCUUGAUGACUCUUGCUGAUAAACAUUAAUAGAAAAAUUUCAUUAGUCUAUUUAAAGAGCAGUACUGAACAUGUUAAUUGAAGUUAGAGUUGAUAUUGUUAGACCAUAAGAUGUUGGACAUACUUUCUAUUGUCUGUUGAUACAGGAAAGGGAAAUUCACGUAUUAAUUUGUUAAUAAACUAGAGUUUCAGGGUUUUCUUUGUUUAAAUUAGGAAGGUAAAAUAUUAGAAAGGCAUUAUUUUUAGAUAUAAACUGGAUAAUGCAGGAAUAUUUGCUUGGUACUUAGUGAUAAAUUUCAAUGUGAGGAAGAGUUUUUUUUUUCCAUUUGUUUCAUGUCAUGUGUAAGAGAAGUAUUGUUCCAUAUUUUUGUAAUGGAACUCAUGUUUUGUCAGACAAAACAUAAAAACAAACACUCAAGUAAUCUCAUUUUAGCAAAUUUUGGUGGAAGUAUAUACAGCUGUUUUGGUUUCACUAUAGGUUAUAGUCUUCUGGUACAACUCGUAGUUUGGGUGUGGAAAUCUAAACUCUGUCAUAUGCACAUGAAUACAGUAACCUAAUAUGAUAUGUUGAUUCAGCUUUCUAUAUUGCUUAAAAUAUUGUAGGAGUUGUCCUUUAUCUAGGGGCUAAAUAUAUAAGGCUUUGUGCAGAAAUAGAUUAAUUUUGCAUUGACAUUCUGGAUGUUGGUGAUAAUUUGUAGUGACAUUAUGCCUAUUGGUUAUGAUUGUGACAGACAGGCAGACUUGAUCCAAAUGGACAUUCCAAGAGCCAAAUUUAAUAGUCUUAGCAUUGAAAAUUCCUGCCUUAAGGAAAGCAAAAGCUUUUCAACAUAUAUAUUGUCUUUUACUUCCAUAAUCAUGGAUUAAUACACAUCAAUUCUAGGCAGUUGAGCAAUGACAUGGUAGGAUUAAUGCACCGGACAAUAUUUUGCAAAUGUAGUAAAAAUUCUGUAGUGUUUUUAUAUAGUGAUGUGGUAGACAAUGUAAAUGGCACCAGCUCCUGACCUUCAUAGACUCAGAAUUGCAAAAGCAUAGAUUAAAAAAAAAAGUGGAAAAGAAUUGUGUAACUAAUGCUCACAUAAUAUUUCUCAUCAAAUACAUUAAUACUUUUUCAUAAAUAUCAGGAAUUGGUUUAACUGACUGACCCAAUAUUGUACAGUGUAAAAUUCUACCCAUUUAAUUUUAAUCACUUUUAUUUCUUAAAAGUUAUUUAUAGAGAGCUGGGCACAUUAGCCCAUUAACACUGUAAUCCCAGCUAUUGGGUAUGCCUAGGUAGGAGGAUUGCACACUAAGAGACCAAUCUGAGCAAUUUAGCAAGACCCUUGUCUCAAAAUUAAAAAAAAAAAAAACAAAAACAAAAUUAAAAGGGCUGAUGAUGUAGCUCAGUGGUAGAGAGCCCUGGAUUCAAUACCUGUACCACAAAACAAAAUGGAAUGCUUAGUUCAUGGCCACAAUUGGGAAAUUAGAUUAGAUGGAAAAAUGAAUAUACACAAAAUAUCUCAUAUAAUCAUUUAUAUUUUGCUUUAUGAAAUGUUCUUGAAAAGAUUAUUUUAUGCCAUUCUAAAAUUUUAAUAAAAAUAUUUUAUCUUUAAUAUAUAGAAGGCUUCACAAUUCCCAAUUUUAGUUUGUUUCUUUGUUUUUGUUUUUCAAACUAAGCAGCUUGUCUAUCAUAUUUAGAAUUAUGGCACUAUUUUCUACUACCGAAGCUGUGUAUAUUUUUUCACAUAUUUUGAAAACUUAGUAAUUACAUUGCAAAUAAAUUUUCCUUUGUUUUGUUUUGGGUGGGAGGUAUCAUACUCAAGCAAAUGCUGUACCACUGAGCCACAUUCCCAGCCCUGCACAUAUUUUCAUAUAGGUUUCUGAUGGGAGUACUAUUCUUUAGGUUUUUGAAAAUGUGAUUUGGGGUUUUUGUUUUUGGAAAGGUCUUUUAAGUAUAGCAUGUAGACCUCUUUUCCUUAAAUGCAUGAAUUCUGUUUUUUAAUCACAAAAUGUAUUUGAAUGCUGUGCAAGGAUUAGAAAUAGUGAACUAUAGCAACAACAGAAUCACUUUUUGUAUCAGUUUUAUAGUCCCAUAUCACUUAGGGAAUGACAUUCUUAAUAAUUCCCAGUAUUUUUAAAGGUUGCUCUCUAAGUUACCUCUUGAAAUAGUAAUUCUAAAGCUAAAGGGAUCAGUACUAUGCCAAAUUUAAUUAUUUGACAAAGAGAUGAAUAACAACUGUGUUAAUCAUGCUACAUCUUGGGCAAUUGUGAAAGAUUUUCUUGAAUUAUAAAAUCUACUAACAAUGGUGAUGGAGUUCUAAAUGCAGAUAGUAAAAUGAUUAGCUUUAAGUUUUUAAUAAUUUUUCUACCAAAUUUAGAAAUAUUUGUAGCUUGUAAAACCCUUUUAUUUAACUUCCAUAAAUCAAAGAAUUAAAGGAUACUUGAGAAUUUUUAUUAAUUUCUAACAUUAUGAGAGUGGUAAAACCACUGAUACAUCUUAUUUAGUUGGAAUAUGUACAUAUGUUUUGGUUAAAUGAAUCAUUGUUUUACUACUCUCAGCAACUUAAUGUAUAGUAUUGAGAAAACAUAGCAACUUGUUAAUUAACCCCUGUUACCCCUGUUAAUUUUACAGGACAAAAAAUAAGAUACUCUUUGUCAAUCACAUAGUUACUUGAAAUAUAUUUAAUCCUUUUAUUACCCUGGAAAUAUGUCCCCUCAACACACACACAUUCAUACACACACUCACACACAAUGCAAAUGUGAACAAAAGGAACUAAGAAGUGAGUACAUUCCUUCUUCCCAUAAACAGAAGGUUAAUAGCUCUGACAUCAUUUAUCUCUGACUGAGAAUAAAGUUGCCAUGGUAAGUAAGGCAAAGGUCAUGCUUUACAGGUUUAUGCCAAACUAAAAAUAGAUUCAUGUGUACCCUCCAUAGAGGCUCCCUAAUGUCAAUUGACUUCUUGCAGAAAGUGUACAUGCUUUCUAUUCUGACAAAUCAAAAGGUAAUUUAGUGAGUUUUAGAGAUUAACUGGGCGCUUGACAUGUGGCACUAUUCCAUUCAAAGAAUGAGUGUUUGGUAGUGGAGAGAUUUAGGAUAAGUUAACUUGUCUUGCUUGAUUUUAGGUAUAGUAAUAUCCUAGUAAUCUAAAAGUGUAAACAUGCAACUUCAGUUUACUUACAGUAGAUUUCCCAUACUGUUUUUGUGGUCCAGAUGUAAAAAAUGACAAUUUUAACAGUAUUCACCUGGUCAUUCUACAAUGGUGUUCUGAUAUUGCCCAGCAUUUUUUUGUAGAGAUAGCCUUCUAACUAUUGUCCAUUAAUUAAAUGCAAAGUAUAUCUUUUUACUCAUUAUUCCUUAAGUAACUUUUAGAGAAUGAACAUAAAGUGAGCCCUCUCCCCUCAUCACCACCCCAAGAUAGAUUUGUAUGUUUAUUUCUUUUUCCUUUCUCUUUCAUUUAUGUAAAGAAUCCUAUAGAAAAUAAAAUAAUUGUUUUCAAGUUAAAAUGAAAAAAACAUUUUUAUAUUUAAUUGAAUUUCUGAAAAACAGCCACAUUUUAUAUACCCCAAAUAAAUUGUCAUGUGUAACAAUAUGCUAAAAUGCAUUAAACAUGGCUAAAAAGUCACUUAGUGUACUAUACAAUAUGAAUAAUAAAUGUAAGACACUUGACAUCACAUUUUCCUAUAAUACUAUUAGUCUAUAAGUAGCAUUUACUAUACAGUAUAUUCUAUUGCUAAUUUAUGAAAUGAAUUCUCGAAAUUGUGUAGUGAGUCUCUACACAAAGCAUUAUUAUCAAAGAGUUAUAAGGGGAAUUUCCCAAUUAAAACUGAUAAUUAAAGGUAUUAUUUAAAUUCAUUAUAUUGCAGAGUAGAUAAGAAACUCCAUGUAAUAAAAUGUUUCUAUUUUGAUUCACGUAAGUUUAUAUUACACAAAACAAAUUGAACUCAAGAAUUAAGUGAUACACUUUAGAAAAUUAAAAAUAGCCAAAGUAAUGUUGAAAUGUGUUAUAUGGACAAUUUAUCAAUAAAAAUUAUUACUGUUAUUAAUUAGUAUAAUUCUUUCAUCCCUGUGAUAGUAAUUUAAGUUGAAUGGGUAUUUAGUAAAUAUAGGGAUGCAUCUUAAUAUCUAUAUUUGCUGAAAAGUGUUAAACACACAAUUAAAACCUAUCCUCAUUAAAAUGGACUUCUGUACACUAUAAUUUGAAUUAAAUAAUGAAUAUAUAAAU
This 11755-nucleotide long non-coding RNA is filed under the name Marmota monax (woodchuck). Lineage: Eukaryota; Metazoa; Chordata; Mammalia; Rodentia; Sciuridae. The record is from RNAcentral.